RNAcentral lists this transfer RNA (113 nucleotides) under Calycina marina. It matches the Rfam family "tRNA". From Rfam's summary of the family: Transfer RNA (tRNA) molecules are approximately 80 nucleotides in length. Their secondary structure includes four short double-helical elements and three loops (D, anti-codon, and T loops). Further hydrogen bonds mediate the characteristic L-shaped molecular structure. tRNAs have two regions of fundamental functional importance: the anti-codon, which is responsible for specific mRNA codon recognition, and the 3' end, to which the tRNAs corresponding amino acid is attached (by aminoacyl-tRNA synthetases). tRNAs cope with the degeneracy of the genetic code in two manners: having more than one tRNA (with a specific anti-codon) for a particular amino acid; and 'wobble' base-pairing, i.e. permitting non-standard base-pairing at the 3rd anti-codon position. The record is from Rfam by way of RNAcentral. Lineage: Eukaryota; Fungi; Ascomycota; Leotiomycetes; Helotiales; Pezizellaceae.
GGACAGAUGGCCGAGCUGGUUAUGGCGCCAGGUUAAGGUUACCUUAAUCAUAAGAUCUAUGAUCUAAUUUCCUGGUCACGAAAGUGGCGUGGGUUCGAGUCCCACUCUGUUCA